CCUACGGGAGGCUGCAGUGAGGAAUAUUGGUCAAUGGGCGCGAGCCUGAACCAGCCAAGUAGCGUGAAGGAUGACUGCCCUACGGGCUGUAAGCUUCUUUUAUAAAGGAAUAAAGUGAGGCACGUGUGCCUCUUUGUAUGUCCUUUAUGAAUAAGGAUCGGCUAAAUCCGUGACAGCAGCCGCGGUAAUACGGAGGAUCCGAGCGUUGUCCGGAUUUAUCGGGUUUAAAGGGAGAGUAGAUGGGUUGUUAAGUCAGUGGUGAAAGUUUGCGGUUCAACCGUAAACUUGAAACUGAAACUGGCAGCCUUGAGUACAGUUGAGGUAGGCGGAAUUCGAGGUGUAGCGGUGAAAUGCGUAGAUAUCACGAAGAACUCCGAUUGCGAAGGCAGCCUACUAAACUGCCACUGACAUUGAGGCUCGAAAGUGUGGGUAGCAAACAGGAUUAGAUACCCUAGUAGUC
RNAcentral lists this ribosomal RNA (460 nucleotides) under uncultured bacterium. Its description in RNAcentral is "partial 16S ribosomal RNA". It matches the Rfam family "Bacterial small subunit ribosomal RNA", at positions 338 to 795 of the family's 1533-position model. The record is from RNAcentral.